GACGAACGCUGGCGGCGUGCUUAACACAUGCAAGUCGAACGGAAAGGCCCUGCUCUUGUGGGGUGCUCGAGUGGCGAACGGGUGUGUAUCACGUGAGUAACCUGCCCUUUACUUUGGGAUAACUUCAGGAAACAGGGGCUCAUACCCGAUAUGAGCUCCUGCUGCAUGGGGGGGGAUGGAAAGUUUCGGCGGUUCGGGACGGACUCGCGGCUUAUCAGCUUGUUGGUGGGGUAGUGGCUUACCAAGGCUUUGACGGGUAGCCGGACUGAGAGGGUGACCGGCCACAUUGGGACUGAGAUACGGCCCAGACUGCUACGGGAGGCAGCAGUGGGGAAUAGUGCGCGAUGGGCGGAAGGCGGGUGCAGCAACGCCGCGUGCGGGAUGACGGCUGUCGGGGUGUAAACCGCUUUCGCCUGUGGCGAAGCGUGAGUGACGGUAAUGGGUAAAGAAGCAACGGCUAACUACGUG
Molecule: ribosomal RNA, 468 nt
Filed under: uncultured bacterium
Lineage: Bacteria
Description: partial 16S ribosomal RNA
Rfam family: Bacterial small subunit ribosomal RNA
Source: RNAcentral